RNAcentral lists this ribosomal RNA (253 nucleotides) under uncultured bacterium. Its description in RNAcentral is "partial 16S ribosomal RNA". It matches the Rfam family "Bacterial small subunit ribosomal RNA", at positions 524 to 776 of the family's 1533-position model. The record is from RNAcentral.
UACGAGGGAUCCUAGCGUUGUUCGGAAUCAUUGGGCGUAAAGGGUGUGUAGGCGGACUUGUAAGUCAGUUGUGAAAGCCCCGGGCUCAACCCGGGAAGUGCUUCUGAUACUGCUUGUCUUGAGUAUUGGAUAGGUGAGUGGAAUUCCAGGUGUAGUGGUGAAAUACGUAGAUAUCUGGAGGAACACCGGCGGCGAAGGCGGCUCACUGGCCAUAUACUGACGCUGAAACACGAAAGCGUGGGUAGCAAACAGG